This is a long non-coding RNA of Strigops habroptila (Kakapo), 2195 nucleotides long. NCBI's taxonomy places the organism in Eukaryota, Metazoa, Chordata, Aves, Psittaciformes, Psittacidae. The record is from Ensembl.
GGGUAAAAACCCUCGCUUCUUUCAAAUAGUCUUAAAAUCUGCAGUCAUCCCGCGGACUGGAAUCUGAAUCUCGAUUUUAUUGAGGCCUGGAGUUUUUGAUAAAUUAUGAAGUGGAUUUUAACUGUUUUGUUUAUUGUCUUUUGUAGAUUUACCUACGAGUAACUAUGGAGUAUUAAUUUAAAUACAAAUAUCAACGUGUUCUGUCAAUGAACCUGCAUCGCUCUGAGGAAACCUUGCCAUCUCAGUUAUACGCUGCCGUGCUUCAGGGUUUUGAAGCCAGCCUGGUGGAGAUGUUUCUGGUGGAGGUAUACAGGUACAAGCACUUCCAGUUCACAAGCAGCAUCAAAAGUACGAUCAGGACAUACCUGGCUCAUACAUGUGAAACAGAUACAGGGUCAAAUUCCAGGCUCUCCUAAAAUUGACCAAAAUGAAAAUGAAUCGUAUAGCAUGGGAGAUGAAGCUAACCAAGAAAAUAAGGAAAACGAAGAAAAUUUUGCAAGAAAUAUCUGUCUUAUUACCUGUGUAUCAGAUGCUUCAAAAUGAGUCCUCCCUGCUGUGACAUGAGCCCAAGUAGUCAGAGCAGUAACUCUCAUGCCUCUCACUUUUGCGAAGUGAACACCUCAUUUGGAGCAGCAGCACCUCCUUUGCAGCUUGAGGAGCCCUGUUCUGCACUGCCAGCUGCUCUUACAAGUUCCAGGAGUAAAGAUGAAAAAGCCCAGUCUGUGCAUCUUGGCCUCUGUUGUGUUUCCGGUAUUACAGCUUGGACCUUAGCUGGGGAGAUAAAAAACUCUAAAGCUGAAGCAAGGUGUAAAAAUUUCAAAAAUCAGAAGAAAGCUAGAUGUGACAGUAAAAGGUUAGCUCAUCCUGUGACACAUGCUUGGGCCUUAAAGCUGGGUUCUGAGAGAAGGCAGCAUUUCUGCAGUGUGUGCAGCAUAGGACUGAAGUCGAAAGAUGCUCAUAAAGUCCAUGAAAAGGGUCAUGAUACGGACCGUGGCUUUAAGUGCGUUUAUUGUCGCACGGCUGAGUGGGACUUAAUGGAGAAUCAUUUAAAAUCACAGAAGGGAUAAAAGAAACCUACCAGUGCCUCAUCAGUGAAAGUGUUCUUGUGUCACAGAGUGCCUGGAAAGUGCACAGAAACAGCCACCUGAGGAAACUUCAUCUCUUUAAACGCACAAUACGUUCAUCAUCUUCUGAAACUGAGCGGAUAAGAAAUCUUCACGUAGUUUGCCGUUAUCAGGAUGUGUUUAAAUGUCUGCACAGUGAUUUUACCAGUCCUGUGAUACUUAGACCCACUGGCUUCAGCUCCAGUAUGGCAUCCUAACAUACGUUGUGUUGGUGGUGACUUGUUGACCAUUGAACCACGCUGGAGAAGCUGGUGUACACUGAAUGGAGGGUUAGCAUUCAGAAGAAGAGCUUGGACCUUCACAUAUGCUGACAUCACACUGGUGAGGUGUGGUUUUUGCUGCUAUUCUUCCUCUGAGAAACAACUUCUCCAAAAACACAUCAAGAAGUAUCACCUAGGUUCAGGAACUUUAUUAACCAGUUCCCAGCCCACCUUUACCCUCAAGUCACUUCCUGUGGAAUAUUAGGUUCUUCAUGCUUAAACUUCCACCAGAGCAUCCCAGCAAAUGCGGAAGCUGCUGGCAUUGUCAGACUUCUGUGCUGAAAGCCAGGGGUUAUCUGGAAGAAGAGAAGAAACAGUCCUUAUGCGGCAAUUAAAAGCACUUAGACUGGUCUUCCCAAAAGCCUUGUGUGUAUUUUGAUACAGGUGGAAACUCCAGUGUGCUGAGAGGAACAUGAAGAUUUGUGUUGCACAAAGGGUGGACAUGUCGAUUUUUUGUUCUGGUUACCUCUUAUUCUGCUUACUUACAAAUGAAGAGUUUGACAUUUGAAGGCAGAAUCUGUUAAAAUGUACCAAAGCUGACAGUGAACCCUACAGGUUGUUUCUGUACUACAGCUCUUAUUUUUGAUACAGCUCUCUACCUAAAUAAAUAAAUUUUAUAUAUAUAUAUUAUUUUUAAUAUUUAUAAACAUAUAUACAAGUAAAUUAUUUAAGAAAAUUUCCUGAUGCUGUUGGACUCAAUGUGGUAAAAAAAAAAAUCCUUAAAUUCCUUUGUUUUUAUUUUUUGUAACAAAAUGUGUCUAUUAUCAUAAGCUGAUCCAUUGUUGAAGUAAAAAUAUAAAUUAUUGAAAUA